This 230-nucleotide long non-coding RNA is filed under the name Helianthus annuus (common sunflower). Its description in RNAcentral is "sRNA HanXRQr2_Chr05g0212951". The record is from RNAcentral. Lineage: Eukaryota; Viridiplantae; Streptophyta; Magnoliopsida; Asterales; Asteraceae.
GCUUGAAGCAAGCGGAAGUUGAAGGACCUCACCCAUUUGCUUUUAUCCACGCCAUUUUCGCCAAAGAUCUUCCCUAGCCCCGAGCUAGAGUAUUCGAAUAUGUUGGUUAUUGAGGCCCGAUCUACGAUGUCGUUGCACAGCUUUCGGACUUUUGGAGUGCUUGAUUUAGCGACGCACUGACUGAAACUAACGAUCUGGCGCGGUAUGGCUUGUUUUCCGCUGCAUUAGGC